UACGUAGGUGGCAAGCGUUGUCCGGAUUUAUUGGGUUUAAAGGGUGCGUAGGCGGCUUAGUAAGUCAGUUCUGAAAUAUCCCGGCUUAACCGGGAGGGUGGGAUUGAUACUGCUGAGCUUGAGUGGAGUCGAGGUAGGCGGAAUUGACGGUGUAGCGGUGAAAUGCUUAGAUAUCGUCAAGAACACCGAUAGUGUAGACAGCUUACUAGACUUCAACUGACGCUGAGGCACGAAAGUGUGGGGAUCAAACAGG
RNAcentral lists this ribosomal RNA (253 nucleotides) under uncultured bacterium. RNAcentral describes it as "partial 16S ribosomal RNA". It matches the Rfam family "Bacterial small subunit ribosomal RNA", at positions 524 to 776 of the family's 1533-position model. The record is from RNAcentral.